Molecule: ribosomal RNA, 429 nt
Filed under: Chloroflexota bacterium
Lineage: Bacteria; Bacillati; Chloroflexota
Description: Chloroflexi bacterium partial 16S ribosomal RNA
Rfam family: Bacterial small subunit ribosomal RNA
Source: RNAcentral
UGGGGAAUAUUGCACAAUGGGCGCAAGCCUGAUGCAGCCAUGCCGCGUGUGUGAAGAAGGCCUUCGGGUUGUAAAGUACUUUCAGCGGGGAGGAAGGGAGUAAAGUUAAUACCUUUGCUCAUUGACGUUACCCGCAGAAGAAGCACUGGCUAACCCCGUGCCAGCAGCUGCGGUAAUACGGUGGGUGCAAGCGUUAAUCGGAAUUGCUGGGCGUAAAGCGCACGCAGGCGGUUUGUUAAGUCAGAUGUGAAAUCCCCGGGCUCAACCUGGGAACUGCAUCUGAUACUGGCAAACUUGAGUCUCGUAGAGGGGGGUAGAAUUCCAAGUGUAGCGGUGAAAUGCGUAGAGAUCUGGAGGAAUACCGGUGGCGAAGGCGGCCCCCUGGACGAAGACUGACGCUCAGGUGCGAAAGCGUGGGGAGCAAACAGG